RNAcentral lists this long non-coding RNA (270 nucleotides) under Carica papaya (papaya). Its description in RNAcentral is "long non-coding RNA (CPAP_LNC004567)". Lineage: Eukaryota; Viridiplantae; Streptophyta; Magnoliopsida; Brassicales; Caricaceae. The record is from RNAcentral.
UAGUAGGUGCUGGCCUGCGGAGCGGAGCUGAGGGUCGAGAACUCCCUGCUGGCUGAGGACGGGUGUUGAAGCUCCUUUCCACGAUCUGUGCCUUUGCUAGAACUGUUGAAUAUGUUUUGAGCUCCAGUACCAACAAGUGUUGCAUGAUCUCCGGGUGGAGGCCCCACUGGAAUCUCCUGGCCUUUCGGCCCUCAUCCAUCAAUGUCUCCGGGGAGUAUCGGCCCAACUCUAGGAACUUACGAGCAUAUUCCGAUACUGUCAUGUUUCCCU